CCCUAGUAACUGCGAGUGAAGCGGGAAAAGCUCAAAUUUAAAAUCUGGCGGUCUCUGGCCGUCCGAGUUGUAAUCUAGAGAAGUGUUAUCCGCGCUGGACCGUGUACAAGUCUCCUGGAAUGGAGCGUCAUAGAGGGUGAGAAUCCCGUCUUUGACACGGACUGCCAGGGCUUUGUGAUGCGCUCUCAAAGAGUCGAGUUGUUUGGGAAUGCAGCUCUAAAUGGGUGGUAAAUUCCAUCUAAAGCUAAAUAUUGGCGAGAGACCGAUAGCGAACAAGUACCGUGAGGGAAAGAUGAAAAGAACUUUGGAAAGAGAGUUAAACAGUACGUGAAAUUGCUGAAAGGGAAACGCUUGAAGUCAGUCGCGUUGGCCGGGAAUCAACCUUGCUUUUGCUGGGCGUACUUUCCGGUCGACGGGUCAGCAUCAAUUUUGAUCGUUGGAUAAAGUCUGGAGGAAUGUGGCAUCUUCGGGUGUGUUAUAGCCUCUGGUCGCAUACAACGGUUGGGAUUGAGGAACUCAGCACGCCGCAAGGCCGGGUACUCGUACCACGUUCGUGCUUAGGAUGCUGGCAUAAUGGCUUUAAUCGACCCGUCUUGAAACACGGACCAAGGAGUCUAACAUGCCUGCGAGUGUUUGGGUGGAAAACCCGAGCGCGUAAUGAAAGUGAAAGUUGAGAUCCCUGUCGUGGGGAGCAUCGACGCCCGGACCAGACCUUUUGUGACGGUUCCGCGGUAGAGCAUGUAUGUUGGGACCC
Molecule: ribosomal RNA, 754 nt
Filed under: Agrocybe putaminum
Lineage: Eukaryota; Fungi; Basidiomycota; Agaricomycetes; Agaricales; Agrocybaceae
Description: eukaryotic LSU rRNA
Rfam family: Eukaryotic large subunit ribosomal RNA
Source: RNAcentral